This 418-nucleotide long non-coding RNA is filed under the name Lynx pardinus (Iberian lynx). The record is from RNAcentral. Lineage: Eukaryota; Metazoa; Chordata; Mammalia; Carnivora; Felidae.
UUAUUGUUGCUCUGCUGGUGUAAGAUGGGUUAACAUUAUUAAACAUAUUGGUGUGAUGUAAAUAUGUGUUACUCCUUAGAAACCAUCAAUUUGCCAAGUCAUAUUGAGUCAUUCAUCUGGAGGACAGCUGAAGGGGUUAAUUAAAAACAGCUGCAUCUAAUCAUGCUUGUGUAUACUUACAGGGCAAAGGAAAGACAGAACCAAAAAAAAAAAAAAAAUAGGACUUCUGUGGAGAAAGGAGAUCUCUAAAAGCCAAGAUGAGUGUCAGAUGGUCUGAGAAUCAAAAAAGAAUCAGAUCUACUAAUUAAAGUGGGUUAUAGUGAAGUAUAAAAGUCAUCCCAAUAUGGCAUUAAGUAAGAACACAUUGAGAUUGGAGAGCAAAACAUGGUUAAUUAUAUAAAGUGUAAACAGUGUAUCU